AUGCCGCCGCCGCUCCUCCGACUCCAUCCUCACCGCCUCCUCCCUCGCCUCCGCCGCUUCACCUCUGGCCCCGUCCUUCUCCGCCUCAACCCCAAAUCCCUCUACGCCACUGCCUCCACCUCACAAGCCGCCCCUACCCCGCCUCCCCAACCUCCUCCCCACGGCCCCUCGCUCCGCCGCGGCCGCCCAACGACCGGCCAUCCUCCCGAAGCGCCCCUCUCCUUCUCGCGCACAUUCGACCUCGCGGCCCUCCGCGUUCCCGCCGCCGCCUGCGCGUCCCUCGAGCGCCGCCUUCGCGGACACUUGCUCAACUGGCCCCGGGUCCGCAACAUCGCCCGUCUCUCCAACGACGACGGCGACGGCCUCGUAUCUCUCCCCACGUCACCCGGGUCCUCCUCCGCCCUCCCGCCGACCGCGGUGGCGCGCCGCGAGAAGCUGGCCCGCGAGUUCAAUGCCCGCGGCUUCGUGGAGUUCCCCAUCCUCGCCAAGAUGUCACGGCCCGCCGGGCGGACGCGAAGGGAGAUGAAGGGGAGAGCAGCCGGCGGCAAGGAGACCAAGCACGAGAAAGACAAGGUCUAUGUCGUGGAGGUGCUGGAGCAGGGAGGGGAGGACGACGAAGACGAAUGGAAGGGGUUAGUCGGGGAGGAAGGGUUCGGGAAGGGCGCGUGGCGAGGGGAGCCCACCCGGCUGCUGCUGCUGGAUGAGGGUCACGCCAAUAGGAGAGUUGAUGAGCUCCCGGAGGCCGUCAAGGUUGUGUUAGAACACGAAGCCAACCAGGGUGGACCUUUUGCCUAUGAGCUUGUGCAAUGUCAGCUAACCCUGUUCUAUGAUUACUGGCCAAUGAAUGAGGUCUUGGAGGCAUUACUUCCUGAAGGGAUAAUCAUUCCUGCAGGCUUUGAGACAGUAGGACAUAUUGCCCACUUGAACUUGAGGGAUGAACACUUACCUUAUAAGACAGUUAUAGCUCAGGUCGUUCUAGACAAAAACAAGCCAAAGAUCCAAACUGUUGUCAAUAAGAUUGAUGCUAUUCAAAAUGAUUACAGAACUAUGCAACUUGAAAUCUUAGCUGGCCACGAUUCCCUUGUUACAACAGUUAUUGAGAGUGGCCUUCGUUUUCAAGUUGAUCUUGCAACAGUCUAUUGGAAUUCUAGAUUAUCAACAGAAAGGCAGAGGCUUGUCAACAAUAUCUUUCAAAAUUCUGAUGUUGUAUGUGAUGUAUUCUCUGGUGUUGGGCCAAUAGCAAUUUCAGCUGCAAAAAAAGUCAAAUAUGUUUAUGCAAAUGACCUAAACCCAGCUGCAGUCGAGUACCUUGAGCAAAACAUUGUUCUUAACAAACUUGAGAGAAAAAUUGAGGUAUAUAACAUGGAUGCCAGAAGGUUUGUUAAUGCGAUGUACUCAAGCCAACAUGUGCAUCCAGUCACACAAGUAGUAAUGAAUUUGCCCAAGGAUGCUGCAGAAUUUUUAGAUGUGUUCAGAGGAAUCUUAAGAAACAGACAAACAGGACACAUCGCCAUGCCAAAGAUCCAUGUGUAUGGAUUCUCCAAAGCCGAGGAUCCUGAAUAUGACUUUCAUGAGAGGAUAAAUCUAGCAUUGUGUGACAGUGUGAUGGGCGUCGAAAUGCACAGGGUACGGCUUGUUGCCCCUGGGAAAUGGAUGCUCUGUGCGUCUUUUACCCUUCCAGAAUCUGUCGCAUAUGCAAAGGCGAAUUACAUUACCUGCUAA
RNAcentral lists this ribosomal RNA (1722 nucleotides) under Triticum aestivum (bread wheat). RNAcentral describes it as "partial small subunit ribosomal RNA". The record is from RNAcentral. Lineage: Eukaryota; Viridiplantae; Streptophyta; Magnoliopsida; Poales; Poaceae.